Long non-coding RNA from Balaenoptera acutorostrata (minke whale), 3863 nucleotides. RefSeq lists it as uncharacterized. The transcript has 2 exons. The record is from RefSeq and is a predicted model, not a curated record. NCBI's taxonomy places the organism in Eukaryota, Metazoa, Chordata, Mammalia, Artiodactyla, Balaenopteridae.
GCUUUCUCUAGUUGUGGCAAGUGGGGGCCACUCUUCAUCGCGGUGCGCGGGCCUCUCACUAUCGCAGGCUCUCUUGUUGCGGAGCACAGGCUGCAGACGCGCAGGCUCAGUAAUUGUGGCUCACGGGCCCAGCCGCUCCGCGGCAUGUGGGAUCUUCCCAGACCAGGGCUUGAACCUGUGUCCCCUGCAUUGGCAGGCAGAUUCUCAACCCCUGCGCCACCAGGGAAGCCCAGCAACAUGUUCUUAACGUUGAAAGGGGCCAAAACAGUUGCCUUAAAUGAGUUAAUUGUGUGUCAGCACUUAAAAUAGUGCUUAGGGUGUUCUAAGUGCUAUGUAAGUGUUUGUUGUUGCCGUUAUUUCAUGUUAAUGAUUUUCCCAUCAUCAACUAACCUGAAAUAUGCCCUUUGCUGACAAGGCCCCCUCCUUCCCUCCUGCAGUAGUAUCUUCAAGACUCCAUAUAACCCAGAAAUUCAGACCUUGAACUGUUGAAGGAGAGAGCUGACUAGUACCCGAGAGUGUCUUGGUUUCCUCUUUUUCUUGCCUUUCUAGGGGAGAGGCAGCCAGCAGUACUGGUUACCGCAGCACAUGCAGCAACAAUAGAGACGACCAGCAGUGCUGGGGGCAGAAAGGUGGCCAUGGCAAAAGUGCGGGUCACAGCGAGGGCAGCAGAGCCUGCAGCACACAGCAGGGCCCUGGACCAGGGCAGGGUACUGGUGGGGCCCCGGAGGAACUCAGUGCCCAAAGGGGCAUUGUAGGCACCAUGUAGGUAACUUCCGGGGCACAAGGAAGUAGAUGAGACAUCUGGCCACAUGGCCAAGGGUGGGGUGGGGUUGUAGAUGCCAAGGGGUUUAACAGUUAGUGGGGCGAAGUUGCUUAAACCUUGACUGGAGAUUUUGCAGGAGGGUGUUUCAUAUACUGCCCCCUCAGUGGUGGCGGUAUGUGCAUGUGUGUGUGUGACGCCCGCAUGCAUCUGUGCAUGUGUAUAUGGACAUCUUUUUGCAUGCAACAGUGGCAAUAGGAGAUUCAAUCCCCCAGUAAAAAGGAGUCAAACUUCAUAUUUAGAGUAAAUAGACAAAUAAGUGAACAUUGCUGGGUAAUCAACCUGAUACACAUUUUUGCCUCUACAGUGGAGUUGCAUUUCAUACACAUACACAUUUAAUUUAUGGGAAUUCAACUAAAAGUGCUUGGCUUAGCAAACCAACAGCCUACACAACAAUAUAAAACAAGAUAAAGGUGAGAGAAGGACAAAAAUAUUUAUUUUAAUCAUGCAUCCACCAUGACACCAACAACCGGUGCUCCCCUGCGUGUCUAGCUCUUGUGUGAUUCUCAGAGAGGAGCAUCUUGCUGCUCUGUGGGAUUCUAGCCCUUAAAGACAUGGUUGUGUUUUUUGUUUUUUGUUUUUUUUUAAUAGAACGUGCACUCUAGAUGCAAGCCAGCUACCUUAUUCAGAACUCAAUGAAGAAUACCAACUUCUCGCUCUUCUUACAAAAUUAAAAAAUGUUGAAAAUUAUAUUUUUCACUUAUAUUAAGUAGAAUCAUUUGAAAGUGAUAUAUAUUACUGAGUAGAGCUGUAUAUACAAAAUUAUGCAUUCCAAAUUAGUUUAAGGGCAUAACAAAUUUAGCUGCUACGUGAUUUUAUUUUACAUGCUGACUUUAGACCUAUCCCUGCAUAAAACAUGGCUCCUCUAUAUGAUUUCUGUUACAUAUAAUGAAUCAAAACAAACGUCUCAUUUGUAGGUGUUGAAUUAGUGUGGCACAGAGGGUGUGUCAAAAUUCAAUGUUUAUCAUUUUAUUUCAUACAAAACAACAAUAGAUCCUUAAGAGCUGGGUGGGUUGAGCAUUGAAAAGUGAAGAUGAAGUUUAAAUGUAGCAUCUAGGGAAGGAAGGGCCAAGGGAUGUUGGAAAACAACCCUUUUCAUAUCUCAAAGGGACUGAACAGUAAUGGGUAGAAAUGUGGUAGAGUUGCCACAAGGACGUGAACUUGGCUAUGUAAAUUGCAAAACCCAAGUCUGGUUUACCUGGUCUUAUGUGACAAUGUGAAUAUUAUAAACUGAUUAUCAUAUUUGAGGCAUCUGUGCCCACCCCCAGCCCUACAUUUUAGCCAUGCUGUGUAAUGGUGUGAAGAAACCAUUGAUCCAAAGCAAUCUUGUGGCCGCCCCUCUGUGGGACUGAAAGUGCCUUUGAUUCUGCCUGUUACCAUCCCUGUUCUUUUUCUGGAAUUAUCAAUUCUUCUGCGGGUUCAACCUGCCUGGAUUUCUUGUUCUCUGGAGGCAGAAGAGCCUCCUGGGAGGUGAACUCAAGCUGGGGCUCAGGAGCAUUGGCUCUGGGCAAGCUGGUGAGAUGGCCUGACACUUGUGUUUUGAGGGGGGGUGAGAAACUUCCUGGGAGGAAAGGAUCUGAGCACAGGGAAUGUGACCCAGAACAAAGUCUUAGUCAUCAGAGCUAAGGGAGGAAGCUGUGAAUACAAUGCAUCAGCCCUCCAGUGGGGGUUAAACUCAAUAUGAACUCUUUUGGUUUUAAGUUUUUCUAGGACUUCAAAUUAUCUCCUUACAUAUAGCAUGGAAUUAUAUGGCUUUAUAAAGAGUAGUUUCAAAUGUAUGAAUGUGAAAUAAGUUUAUUAUGCUCUAAAACUUUAACUUGUCUUAUCUGUGGAUAAUUUAAGCCUCUUGUUAUGGGGCAGAAGUAUGAGGUUUUGGCUUUCCUGUUGUGUAUUCUUUAGACUUUGGAAUGUUAAUAAUGUAACUAAUUUUUCAAAAUAAGAAAAUACUUCGGAAGAUUUCCCAACACAUUUCAAGAAUAGUUUGGGAAGAAAGUUUGUUUUCUCAGUUUGUUCUAUGUGAUUUCCACACAUACUUCCUAAAGCAAAAUCAAUAUGCAAUAAAAUCCUGGAGCUGGUGCUGUCAGUUUCUCACUAAUAAGUACAUUAGAUCGAAUCCCCUGUCCUACUCAUGUACUCUCCCUACAUUCUCUUUCCAGGUACACUUUGAGAAAACCAAAUGCAAAAAUGUCUUGCUGCGUGAUCAUUUCUAUCUUGCACUAUCCUCUUACCUCUUGCACUUUUUUUUUUUCCUGCUUCCAGUAGAAGUUCUACAAACCUGCAUGGUAUCUUUUUUUUUUUUUUUUUUUUUUUUUAACUUUACAGGAAGGAAGGAGAGAAAGUCAAUUUACAAGAAUGAUUGGCUGCUUUUCCUGAUUAUAGAGGAGGGAGAGCAAAAGACAGCAAGCAAGGCUCUAUCCUCUGUUGUUUAAUUCUUACCUCUAUUUUCCCUCUUUCAGAUUGGUGUCAGAGUUCACCACAGUUCCAGAGGAGGUUGACCUGACCAUCAGCAGGGCUACUUAGAGGCCUGGUCCUUCUUCACAGCAAGUGGGCUUGGGCCCAACUCUGAAUCCAGCCAUGCAAACACUGCCCGUGAAACCCUAGCAGGGCUACCAAGAAAAUACUACUGAGACAUCAAGACACUGUGAAUGGGGAAUGUUUGGGAGCCUCUGGAUUAAACUGUCCUUGCUUUUGUCUGUAUGUGGCUAAGAGUUCUCUUGUGGGUCAUUGCUACCAUUUUAAAAUUUACUUCUGGGGCUUCCCUGGUGGCGCAGUGGUUGAGAAUCUGCCUGCCAAUGCAGGGGACACGGGUUCGAGCCCUGGUCUGGGAAGAUCCCACAUGCCGUGGAGCAACUGGGCCCGUGAGCCACAACUACUGAGCCUGCGCGUCUGGAGCCUGUGCCCUGCAACAAGAGAGGCCACGACAGUGAAAGACCCGUGCACCGCGAUGAAGAGUGGCCCCCGCUCACCACAACUAGAGAAAGCCUUCGCACAGAAACGAAGACCCAACACAGCCAAAAAUAAAUAAAUAAAUUUAUAAAAUUUA